AAUAUACAUGUUGAAAUGGUUACGAUUUUAGUAUGUGAUGAUUUUUUUUCAUCUUAUGCACACACACCCUAUUUCUGUCUAUAGGAGCUCAUGGAACCCAUGUAGCAAGUAUCGCCGCUGGGCAUUUUCCAGAGGAGCCUGAACGGAAUGGAGUUGCUCCUGGUGCUCAAAUUCUGUCCAUUAAGAUUGGUGAUACAAGGCUAAGUACCAUGGAAACAGGCACAGACCUCAUCAGAGCUUUACGCUGCCUUGGUGUAGAAAUAGCUUCCAGAGAUCCAUCUGCUCAUUGUGAACGCCUCCCUGUGGUGACGCCAGCAACACAGCCAGAACCUGUGUCACAAUGUGCAAGCCCCCUAUGGUGCCUGGAACUGGGGGAACUUAAGUGAUGGAGAAGAAACACGGGAGAAAGCUGCAGCAUGGGAAGUGGGCUGCGGAAGACGUUUUCACCCGUCAAACUUUGUGUACGCCGCAAGCUGAGAAAUACAGGAGGGUAUAGUGUUCUCAUAAGACUGCACUCGGAAGAACAUGUAUGUAUUCACUGUAACUAAUGGCAUAGAUGUUUCCCAAUUGCUUUGGGUAUCUCAGACAGAAACUUUUGUGAAUCCUGAGUUAAGUCAAAAUUGUUUCCUAUAAACACACAUUCCUCACUGUCACUUUCUUCAGAAGCUGGACUUUCCGCCAGGUCAGAAGCUGGACGUUCCUCCAGGUCAGAAGCUGGACAUUCCUCCAGGUCACUUGAAGUCUGAGUAUUUAGGGGAACAUCAUUGGUCCAGUCAUCAGAAAUCCAAGAUGAAUGUGAACUGACUAAAUCAGUAGUGUUUUGUUGAGUUCUGGAAACAGAAUGCCUAUGUGAAUUGGUUUUUUGAAACCAUAUGUGACGUUAUCAUUCUAUACGCUUUGGAUGUUCUUCUGUACUUCCUUUCCUCUGUUUGAUUCUCUAUCAGGAAAUGAAGCAUCUUUCUGUGUAGAUUCCGAUGAGAAUCCUGAAAGUCCCUCAGGCUUUUUAACGUUCAGGUCAGAUCUCUGCUCAAUGAGUCCUCAGUAGACUCUUUUCUCUCUCCGUUUGUUUCAAAUAAUAAACAAGCAAGGAGCUGCCCAUUCAUCAGUAUUGACCAUGAGCGAGUUUUCAAUAGUGCCCAACCUUACUCUCUCAGUAGAACUUGGAUAUAAAGCACAUGCCAUGCUCUGUCAGAAAAAAAGAAAA
This is a non-coding RNA of Myodes glareolus (Bank vole), 1204 nucleotides long. The record is from RefSeq and is a predicted model, not a curated record. Lineage: Eukaryota; Metazoa; Chordata; Mammalia; Rodentia; Cricetidae.